CAUUGAUAAGAAUAUCAACCAAUUGAUUUUGAAGAAAGAAAUUGUUAAAACACCUCAUGUUUGAAUUAAUUGGGAUUUCUGAAGUAAUCUCAUCAGGCCACCGAAUCAUAUCAGAUGCCCCUAAACACCAUGGUAAAUUAAAAAAAAAAGCCAAAGAAGAGGUUUCCAAUAAAAAAAUUUCUUUUAAGGCCUUCACAUUAGGACCAUAAGCAUUAAAUACAAUCCACUUAAAACUCAGACAAAGACCAUAAAAAACAAGAGCUAUUACUCUAUCUUUAACAAUCACAUUCACAUAAACCAAAGCUGAGGAAUCCCAUGGAACCCACAGACCCCAGAAGACCCAAGUGCAUCAACCUCUUCAAAACCCACAGACCCCCAGAAGACCCUAGUACAUCAACCUCUUCAAAACCCACAUACCCACCCCUCCACACUUCUAUAACACUAAUAACAGAAAGCUUGUAGAGUUUGCUUUCCUGCAACAUAAGAAUUUUAGUCUCGUGAUGUUUCACCAAUAACAAAACUUCUCUUUCUGUGCAUCUCCCCAAGUCCCCAGAACAUUCCAACUAAAACUUUUCAUCACAAAAACGAAGACAAAGCACCAUCUAAAACAGGAUCAUCCUCAGAAAAAGUCAUAUUGUCUUCACUACGUUCGACAUUCAAAUUUCUCCCUACCUGUCCCCCAUCAAAAAUAUCCCCUUAUUAGCACGACUUGCUUUCUUUGCCGCUAUCCUCAGUGAAGACCACAAGGAUUUACUUUCUACAGUAACCACAGCUUUACCACCAUUAUUCUUAUCACCCUCUACUUUGAUAUCAUCAUCACCCUUCUUACUGAUUUGAAUCCCAUUCUUCUCUUCCUUAAAUUUCUCGUUCAUAGCUUGUAAAACUUGGCCUAUAGGGACAUCAAAGGAUGCAGCUAUAUCCUAGAGCAUCUCUGCAUAAUCUUUCUCUUCAUCUUCCCUCGGAUCGAUCUUAUCCAGACCACCAAUAACAUGCUCUUGAGCAACGCCUCCAACCUAACCUUCCUCACCCACCACCGGCAACACUUAGUAGUUGCUGAACACCCACCGCUUCCUCAUCUGACCCUCUAUCAUUCGCCCCCACCAAAAGAUAUGCUUAGAGGUUCCUGUAGUUGCUCAACCACCCCGGGCAUGAUUCUCUCUCUCUCCACCCAACCCUUUCGCUCUCUUCUUCUUCUACCUCUCAUGCCGUCCCCAUUGUACCAGCAAGCUACUCUCUAGCCCAUGUAGUAAAUCCACUUAACCUCACAUCCUACCCAUAUAUCUCUGUCAUGACCCACCACACCUAUUCAUAGUGUACCUUAUCUUAUUCUUAGUAGGACUCUGGGCAGACGCUUAAUCCUAGUUCUAAUUACAAUGCACUCCAAAUCUCAAUGGAUUUUCCUAAUUGACGUCUAACUAAUUGGUUGACUUAUUAUAAUCCCAAACCUCAUCCCAUGUUUAAUUAUUAAUCUAAUAGGACUCCUGAUCAUGAUGGGAUUUAGCAAUUCUAGUUUCUAACUCUAAUCUUUCCCAAUUUCACAGACAGCCAACCUGCACUCCGUU
This 1562-nucleotide long non-coding RNA is filed under the name Amborella trichopoda. RNAcentral describes it as "long non-coding RNA (ATRI_LNC001958)". Lineage: Eukaryota; Viridiplantae; Streptophyta; Magnoliopsida; Amborellales; Amborellaceae. The record is from RNAcentral.